UACAGGGGGUGCAAACGUUGCUCGGAAUCAUUGGGCGUAAAGCGCACGUAGGCGGUUCGUUAUGUCGGAUGUGAAAGCCCUUGGCUUAACCGAGGAAGUGCAUCCGAAACUGGCGAGCUAGAGUACUAAAGAGGAUCGCGGAAUUCCCGGUGUAGAGGUGAAAUUCGUGGAUAUCGGGAGGAACACCGGUGGCGAAGGCGGCGAUCUGGGUAGAUACUGACGCUGAGGAGCGAAAGCAUGGGGAGCGAACAGG
Molecule: ribosomal RNA, 253 nt
Filed under: uncultured bacterium
Lineage: Bacteria
Description: partial 16S ribosomal RNA
Rfam family: Bacterial small subunit ribosomal RNA
Source: RNAcentral